GUCUCCGUGGUUUAGUUUGGAGAACAGCCGACUAUGGUGCGGUAGGAUUCGGGUUCGAGCCCCGGUGAAUGCA
Molecule: non-coding RNA, 73 nt
Organism: Henosepilachna vigintioctopunctata
Lineage: Eukaryota; Metazoa; Arthropoda; Insecta; Coleoptera; Coccinellidae
Source: the annotation of a GenBank genome assembly